AGUUCAUAGAUAGGACAUGAUUAAAAAAUUUUAGCCCCCAAACCAAUCUGUAAAAUUGUGGAUUGGAUAUGAAUUGGGUCAAAUCCACAUCUGAUCUGCAGACGUAUGGAUUGAAUUUGAACUGAAUUUAACUAAUCCGUGGAUUGGAUUAAAUUAAAAAUUAUAAUCCGUAAAAUCAUGAAUCGGAUAUGGAUUGACGUCUAAUCUACAAAAUUUGAUCCGCAAACACCCCUAAAAAGAGAUAAAGUCCAAAAAUUACAGUAAGAGUAAGGUGGCGAUUUUUUUAAUUAAAAGUAAAGUGAAGAUUAGAUGGAAUAAAUUGAGAGAAAAAUUAUUUUAAAAUUCUUAUUGAGAUUAAUUGAGAAGCGGGAGCUGACGAGAUAGACGUGAUAAAAUUGACAGUGAAUCACCAUCACUCAUUCGUUUUACCAUACAAACGCAACGGAACAUGUUAAAUGGGCCUGGUUAGGCUGGCCUUUGCACUCUCAGAAAUGAAUCCAGCUAAAGCCCAAAAAUUGUUGGGCAAUUAGAAAAAGCUUCAGCCGUUGGAAUACAAAAUCCAGAUCGACAUAUAAAUUGAAUUAAAAAAAUCAGUUGACUCGAAGAUAUCGAGAACCUUCAGAUAAUUUUUAUUAUGAAAAGAUUUAAGAUAAAAGGGUUCGUCUACGUUGCCACUGUUGUACUUUACCACAGUCUUUUAUCUUUUGUGAAUUAGUUAAUAUAAAAUUUUAUUGAACCCUUGCAUAGGGAUGGCAAUGGGCACCGCCCGCAGCGGGUUUGCCAUUACCAAACUCAAACCCGCACAAAAUUUAAAUUAUCAAACCCACCUACA
RNAcentral lists this long non-coding RNA (832 nucleotides) under Citrus x clementina. RNAcentral's name for it is "Citrus clementina (C. clementina) long non-coding RNA (CCLE_LNC006651)". Lineage: Eukaryota; Viridiplantae; Streptophyta; Magnoliopsida; Sapindales; Rutaceae. The record is from RNAcentral.